Molecule: non-coding RNA, 262 nt
Filed under: Peptococcaceae bacterium
Lineage: Bacteria; Bacillati; Bacillota; Clostridia; Eubacteriales; Peptococcaceae
Description: T-box sequence
Rfam family: T-box leader
About the family: Uncharged tRNA acts as the effector for transcription antitermination of genes in the T-box leader family.
Source: RNAcentral
AAAAUGACGAUGACAGGGAAUAGUAAGCGUUUAUCUUGCUGGUUCAGAGAGCCGCCGGUUGGUGCGAGGCGGUCAAAGGCAAGGCGCAGAACUCUCCUUUGGAGUAGCCGACCGAAAUCCUUUGGAAAGUAGGCCCGGACGGGAUCUUCCGCCGUUAAAAGGAAGGAGAUAUCGGAUUUUUUAAUCCCGUAUCUUUUUAAGAGAACGGCUUUUAUGCCGUUAAAUUGAGUGGUACCGCGGAGGUAAACCCUUCGUCUCAUAU